RNAcentral lists this non-coding RNA (184 nucleotides) under Candidatus Omnitrophota bacterium. RNAcentral's name for it is "6S RNA". It matches the Rfam family "6S / SsrS RNA". From Rfam's summary of the family: E. coli 6S RNA was the first non coding RNA to be sequenced, but its function was unknown until recently. Lineage: Bacteria; Pseudomonadati; Candidatus Omnitrophota. The record is from RNAcentral.
AAUUCCCUGCUGUGCGCGUUUUAGUUUGAUGUAUUUUGAGCCAACACCAAAAUACAGGGAGCCUAACUUUAAGAGCGGAUUGCAGGCCCCGAUCCGUCGGGGAACAUGAAGCUUUUAAGAAGGCACCCACCUAUACAAACAUAGGUUCAAAAAUUAUCAGCUAGAACGGCAUGGUGGGGGUUUU